AACGAACGCUGGCGGCAUGCCUAACACAUGCAAGUCGAACGAGACCUUCGGGUCUAGUGGCGCACGGGUGCGUAACGCGUGGGAACAUGCCCUUAGGUUCGGAAUAACUCCCCGAAAGGGGUGCUAAUACCGGAUAAUGUCUUCGGACCAAAGAUUUAUCGCCUUUGGAUGGGCCCGCGUUGGAUUAGCUAGUUGGUAGGGUAAAAGCCUGCCAAGGCGACGAUCCAUAGCUGGUAUGAGAGGAUGAUCAACCACACUGGGACUGAGACACGGCCCAGACUCCUACGGGAGGCAGCAGUGGAGAAUAUUGGACAAUGGGCGAAAGCCUGAUCCAGCAAUGCCGCGUGAGUGAUGAAGGCCUUAGGGUUGUAAAGCUCUUUUACCCGGGAUGAUAAUGACAGUACCGGGAGAAUAAGCUCCGGCUAACUCCGUG
RNAcentral lists this ribosomal RNA (433 nucleotides) under uncultured bacterium. RNAcentral's name for it is "partial 16S ribosomal RNA". It matches the Rfam family "Bacterial small subunit ribosomal RNA", at positions 29 to 507 of the family's 1533-position model. The record is from RNAcentral.